AACGUAGGAGACAAACGUUAUCCGGAGUUACUGGGCGUAAAGGGCGUGUAGGUGGUUUCGUAAGUCUGGCGUGAAAUUUUUCGGCUUAACCGGGAAGGGUCGUCGGAUACUGCAGAACUAGAGGACGGUAGAGGCGUGUGGAAUUCCGGGUGUAGUGGUGAAAUGCGUAGAGAUCCGGAGGAACACCAGUGGCGAAGGCGACACGCUGGGCCGUACCUGACACUGAUGCGCGACAGCAUGGGGAGCAAACAGG
This 253-nucleotide ribosomal RNA is filed under the name uncultured bacterium. RNAcentral's name for it is "partial 16S ribosomal RNA". It matches the Rfam family "Bacterial small subunit ribosomal RNA", at positions 524 to 776 of the family's 1533-position model. The record is from RNAcentral.